AAACCUGAACUUGUCAAACUGGCUUAUGAUUCAUGAAACUAUCACCAAUUUCAGAAAAAUGGGUGCUUAUAAUAGUACUGUAUUAAAUAUAAAAUGUUUAAACUUGUAAUUUCAUCAUUCCACACGUUCUGCUUUGUAGGGAAGAAAUGAAUGGUGUCACUCGUAUAUGGGCGUAGAUGAGAGGAGGAGGUGUCUUUAUGACGUCGCCCAUGGUAACAGUGAAAUGUUUCAUGUUCUUUCCCUGGAGACACUGACGGAGCGCAAUCUGUGCAGUGGACAGACUUUGAAACAGAAUAGAAGUUCCAGAUUGUGGGCUUAUGGUAGAAAGCCCUAAAAAAGUAAGUUGUCAUUAAUGCAGAUAGUAGAAUAUUUACACCACAUCCCCGGUAGAUCGUUUUUUUUAUUCCAUUUUUUUUUGGUUCAACAUUAUUGAAACGCUAAUAUCAGGGAACUUAUCAGAGACUGAGACAAAUUCUUUCCUAACUCUUUCUAGAAUUUCGGAUAAUGCAUCUGGACAAAUGUGUCAGCAUUUGUUGAACGUCAGAUGUCCCUUCAGAAGGGUGUCAGUAUUCCAGGACUGGGGACCUUUAUUUUCUCACAGCAAAAGCUUGAUGUGGGAAAUGAAAUCAUUUUAAUUUAGAGACCCAUAUUUCUAAUUUCUGAAAAAUGUGCACAAACUCAUGGGCUAAAGCAAACCAAACUGUUCUCUGCAGAGCCCCCCAGCGACAGACAGCUGCUCUCCAGGCAGACAUUAACACCGGCGAGAGUGACUGGGAUCAGUGUGCCUGAUGAUCUGGAGAGGAGCAUAAAGAACACAGCCCAGCAGAGAGGAGCUGUGCUACCUGUGCGUGUAGAGAGCCCGGAGGAAUGUGCCAGUGUACUUCCAUGAGGAGAGGAAGCGCCAGCAAGAGGACGAAGAGAGAGUGCUGAUGCAGUACCAGCAACUACAAGACCAGGCUUACCUAGAUAAGAAACAGGAACAAGCAUUCAACGUGAUGUUUAGGGCCAUAUUGUGCCGUGUCAGUGCAUAUGUUUUAAAACCAAGUUUAUUUUUAGUACUACUCUUACGUUUGAUUGUUUAAAGUUAUGGAUGCAUUACCUGUGAUUCCUUUGAACUUAGUUACAAUUGUCAGCUGCAGUGGACCUGUAUUUGUAUAUGCUUCACAGAUGUAAGACUCGAUGGGUGCUUUCCCUGGACUGUGCAGUAGUGCUGGCUGAUUGGGUGCUAAAUUAAGGACUUGGAUUUGCACUCAAAUCCACUAGCCUAUCCUCAUUGCACAUUUCUUUAUUCUUCUCAGAAUCACAUGCUGGCUGCAAGAGAAAACAAUAAGGAGAGUGCAGCCUACAACUUGGGAGUCUCUGAAGCGAUCAAAGCCAGUAAAACUGCAAAAUCCACAUUCAGUAGCUCCUACUUCUUUCCUAAGGGGCCCUGGAUGCUGUGUUGCUUCCCCAAACAGGAGGAGUACAAGCAGAGCCUGUCCCUGCAAGUAGGGGCGAAAAAGGAGAAAGAGGCCAAGAGUAAACAAGACCAAGUGUUUCUGGAUCGACUCGAACUAACACAGCUAGCUGAGAAGUGAAAUGGAUUUCUUUAGUACAUGCUUCUUAAGUACAUGUGGCUUGUUGGUCUAGGGGUAUGAUUCUCACUUAGGGUGUGAGAGGUCCCAGGUUCAAAUCCCGCACGAGCCCUCUUUCUCUUUCUUAUGUUCUUAUUGAGAUUCUGGGAUUAAUAAACUACUAACAACCAAACGAGCAAGAUGGGCUGAAUGGCCUCCUCUCGUUUGUAAACUUUCUUAUGUUCUUAUAUGUAAUGCAGAUUACAGACAGUCAACAUGGAGAGGACACAAUUCUCUAGUUGUCAACAAAGGAAUACAGAAAAGGGCGGCUCAGUGUAAGCUAAACAUACACACACGUGCAAGCUCUGUCCUACCAAUAUGUUCGAGCCACACUUUACAGGGCUUCCAUUCAAGUUAUUUUUUGCAGGGGUAGCUAUCAAACCUAAAUUAUUUUAAAUAUAACAUAAAACAACACAUCCUACGGUAGGAAUCGGCAGAAACUCGGGUCAGUGAACAAUAAUAAUCAAUCUAAUCAGGAUUGUAUAAUAGUCAUGUUACAAUAAUAGUGUAAAUCCUGC
This is a long non-coding RNA of Acipenser ruthenus (sterlet), 2131 nucleotides long. RefSeq lists it as uncharacterized. The transcript is spliced from 6 exons. Lineage: Eukaryota; Metazoa; Chordata; Actinopteri; Acipenseriformes; Acipenseridae. The record is from RefSeq and is a predicted model, not a curated record.